GGGGGGGGGGGGGGGGGGGGGGGGGGGGGGGGGGGGGGGCGGGGGGGGCGUGGGGGGGGGGGGUGGUGGGGGGGCGAGCGGGUGGGGGGCCCGUGGGUAGGGUGCCCUGGGCGUUGGGGUCACUUCAGGGAACUGGGGGGACUACAGGGUAGGAGCCCCUGCUGCAUGGUGGGGGUUGGGAAGAUGCGGCGGUUGGGGGUGGACUCGCCGCCUCUCAGCUUGUUGGGGGGGUAGUGGCGUACCAAGGCUGUGACGGUUAGCCGGCCUGAGGGGGUGACCGGCCACAGUGGGACUGAGAUACGGCCCAGACUCCUACGGGAGGCAGCAGUGGGGAAUAUUGCACAAUGGGCGGAAGCCUGAUGCAGCAACGCCGCGUGCGGGAUGACGGCCUUCGGGUUGUAAACCGCUUUCGCCUGUCACGAAGCGUGAGUGACGGUAAUGGGUAAAGAAGCACCGGCUAACUACGUG
RNAcentral lists this ribosomal RNA (468 nucleotides) under uncultured bacterium. RNAcentral's name for it is "partial 16S ribosomal RNA". The stretch from base 63 to 468 matches the Rfam family "Bacterial small subunit ribosomal RNA", at positions 39 to 507 of the family's 1533-position model. The record is from RNAcentral.